Molecule: non-coding RNA, 3648 nt
Organism: Equus caballus (horse)
Lineage: Eukaryota; Metazoa; Chordata; Mammalia; Perissodactyla; Equidae
Source: RefSeq, a predicted model, not a curated record
UGGUGUACCCACAACAUGACUAACAAAAAUGUACAACUGAAAUCUCACAAGGUUGUAAUCUAUCAUAACAUUAAUAAAAAAAUAAAAAAAAAUAACGUCUGAGUCACUGACGCUUAUGAGGUGGAGGAAGAAAUGAAUUUAUAUUAGAUGUGGAUAAUUCCAUCCAGCAUGAUGUAGUGGAAACAGUACAAUCUUUGGUGUCAGACUGAAGUUUGAAAUCUGUUUCUGUCUCUUUCUAGUUGUAUGGCCUGGGGCAAGACAGCUAAUAUCUCCGGCUAUCACGUUCCUCAUCUGUGAAACAGCAAUCAUGAUAACUGCCCUCUCAAGGUGAUGUGAGUGUCACAUGGAAUAAAUACACACCGGAAGGUGAAGCAGGUGUCAAUACUACUGGAACUUUGCCUUGCAAAUUAUUUACAUAAUCUAGCGCCUUCAUGCCCUCUCAGAACAAACACAAUCUGCAUUCAGAACAGGACCGUUUACAAGUUGAAUGGAGUUGUUUUGGGAAAAAGAAAAAGAAGAAAGAGCUGAAGUAGGAGUAUCUUUUCAACUGAUACAAUGCUUCAAGGUAUAUUUGUUUUCCAUUCUUUCACAAAGGCUAAAUCAAAAUACGUCUGGAAAUUUCAUUGGCUCUACCUUCAAAAUGUAUUCAGAAUUCAGAAAGUUCUUCAGGCAAAAGGAAUAUGAAACCAACAGUAAACUUGGAUCUACAUCAAGAAAUGAAGAGCGCUGGAAAUGGGAUAAAGUAAGCAAACAACGAAAAUUAUUUCUACUCAAGUUUUAAGAAAGGCGGAGGUGCAGCAAGGAUCAAAGCAUCAAAGAAAAAUAAAAUAACUCAAUUCUAAAUACAUUCACUGAUUUUAAAUUAUCAUAUACCUAGUCUCCUCCAGUGACCCCUCCUCAAGAAUUUCACCAGGUUAGAGGGACAAUCAGGAUAGAGAAUUAUUCAGGAAGCAUUUUGGAAGUACACUAAAGAAAACAGUAGGCACAUUGAAGUAGGAAGAUGAGCAUUUUGUUAAACAAACGAGUUAUUUCUAAAAAGACAAUUUACCUUUUGAAAAUAUUUUUAAUUAAUUCAGUCCAAAUCCAUGCCGUUGUUAUGAUUUCAACAUACCCAUGUCCUAGGCCAGAAGACCAGUUUAAUUAUUUCACAACUCAAAGAGGAAAGGCUCCCAGCACAGAGACCCAUCAAGAUCAGCUCUUUGCAUGGCAAUUGCCAAGCUCCUGUAUAUAGUUUCAUGUUGUUAUGGGUUGAAUUGUGUCCCCUCCCCAAAUUCAUAUGUUGGCAUCCUAACCCCUAGUUCCUCAGAAUGUGGCGUUAUUUAGAAAUAGCAUUGUUGCAGAUGCAAUCAUUAAGACGAGGUCAUACUGGAGUUGGAUAGGCACCUACUCCAGUGUGACUGGUGCCCUUAUAAAAAGGGGCAAUUUGGACAGAGAGACAGGCACACAGGAAACACCAUGUGAAGGCUGAAGUUAUACCACCACAAGCCAAGGAACUACCAGAAGGUAGGAGAGAGGCCUGGAACAGAUCCUUUGCUAGCGCCUUCAGCGGGAGCAUGGCCCCAUAGACACCUUGAUUUCAGAUUUCUGGUCUCCAUUUGUAGUGCUUUGUUACAGCAGCCCUAGCAAACUAAUGUAGAUAUCAUUUUCUUUUUUACUCUUCUAAAUUUUGCUGCCACUUUCAAGUGACACAAAAAUGUCAAACCAAGUAGGGAAAGAAUCAUGAAGCAGAGGCAUGACCAUAUACACUUCUCAUGGACUCCACCACCCUUACCCUCUGACCCCUCAACAGCCCCAGACUCCACGCCGUCUUCCAUGAAAGAGAAACUCCUUGCUUUCUUUCUCAGCCCAUGCUCUCUACAGAGGAAAAGCAUAGCCAGCCUUCCAUGUAGACCCCAUUGACUAUUUGCCUAUAAUAAGCCUGCCCUUCAUCAUAACUUUUCCUGUCUGACUUAGUUGGGAAGUUAGGUGUGUCAUUUCAGAUGGGAACAGGACGUUUACCCCAGCAACUGCCCCUACCUUUAACCAAUAGGGCUGAAAUUCUCUGAACAAAAAUAAGAGCCUUUUCUUUCUGUUGGCCUGUGAAAUAAACUGCUCCCUCCCAACACACACACACACACACACACGCACACACACAUGCCCAACAUUUCCUGUGGCAUUGCAGUGUGAUUGGUGGUCUAGUAAAAUGUUGAGAAAGUGAUAUGUGAGCAACCUAGCACAAAUUUUUGAAGAGUAGUGUAUUUGAAAGACUGACCUUUGGCAUAUGCAUAAAUAAGUACAGAGAAAGAACAGAAAGUAAAAGAUAAUUGUGUUGUGUUGUGCGCUCAGCAGGAACUCGGUUGCUUGUUGAUUGAGAAUAUUGAAAGUACAGGAUAAUGAGUAAGUGUGCCACCUAGUUUAGGUUUGCUGGAAUUUGACGAGGCCUGCAGUUACAGAUUGGCCUGACUUUUGUAAAAACCUCUUUGUUUUUCUUGCUCUCAAACACAUUGUAAAUUCAUUAAAUGGCCCAAGGCUUUGCUACUGAUUCUCACACUCUUGUAAGAGCUUAUAAAGGGAGUUUUGGGGCCAAGGCCUCUAAGCAGGAUCCAGAUGUGGGCGGAAAUGGUACUGAUGAUUCAUACUGCUCUAGGGUGAUAAAGUAUUUUAUUGGCUACCAUCAACCUGAUGACCAGGUCGCAGUGGAAGUCAGCCUCAGUUCUGAGCGCACAGUUAAGGUGGAUCUUUGGGGAUGCCUGCAAACCCAAGGCCACGAGCAAGCCUGUGACUCAAUCAGAAUGAAACACAGGACAGGAGACCCCUGACCAGUCUACUUGCCAGGACUGCCUUCUGUCAGUGAUCUUUACUCUUCUCAGUUCUGGGCAUCUGGAAAUAUAUAAUGCGGCUGAGUAAUGUGGCAUUAAGCAGACAAAAUAACAUACAGAAAUCAAAUCUACAGAUAAUCCAAAAAGCACAUUUUGGACCAUCUUUUGAUAUUCUGUACUUUUUCUUUCCACCCUGUAAAAAUAAUCUUUUUCCAUCUAAUGAGAGAUUGGCAGAGGGGAUGAAGGGAAGAGAAGCAAAAAGAGUGAAGAAUUUGCAGACUGGAUGACCUGACCCCGAACAACUGGAUGUGUUGAAAAUGUGUGCAUUUCAGAAAGAGUUUUAGUGUGGAAAGUCCUGAGGACAGAAACUCUGUCUUUAGAAUUUAGCAUUUUAGAGAGCAUCAAGAUUCUUCUGCUUUAAACUCCUCCCUGGGUGCAAGCUAGUUAUCAAUGUGAAGUGGAAACCUGAAAAAAUUUCAAGUGUGUGUUAAAAAUCUAUUUCUAUUUUCUGAUAUUAAUAUCUUCCAAAAUUAAACUAAAAAAAAACUCUUUCCCAAUUCCAUUUUUUGAAAAGUCUGGGUUUCUAUUGAAACAAUUCCUACCCUCCACGUCUAAAAAAUUACUUAAGAACUUUCGGCAAGAUCAAGACGGUCAGUUCUGUGAUUCUGGACACUGUGGAAUGCCUAUCUCAUUAUUUCUCUUGAAAAUAUGUGUGAAACUCACUACCAUUCUGAAACUCUACCUAACACAUUUUUUUAAAUAAACUUUUUUUUUAAAUUUUAGAACAGUUUUAGAGAAAAAUUGCAAAGACUGUACAGAGAGUUUCCAAAUACCCCACAUCCAGUUUCCU